UAGGGAAUCUUCGGCAAUGGACGAAAGUCUGACCGAGCAACGCCGCGUGAGUGAAGAAGGUUUUCGGAUCGUAAAACUCUGUUGUUAGAGAAGAACAAGGACGUUAGUAACUGAACGUCCCCUGACGGUAUCUAACCAGAAAGCCACGGCUAACUACGUGCCAGCAGCCGCGGUAAUACGUAGGUGGCAAGCGUUGUCCGGAUUUAUUGGGCGUAAAGCGAGCGCAGGCGGUUUCUUAAGUCUGAUGUGAAAGCCCCCGGCUCAACCGGGGAGGGUCAUUGGAAACUGGGAGACUUGAGUGCAGAAGAGGGGAGUGGAAUUCCAGGUGUAGCGGUGAAGUGCGUAGAUAUAUGGAGAAACACCAGUGGCGAAGGCGGCGCUCUGGGCUGUAACUGACGCUGAGGCUCGAAAGCGUGGGGAGCAAACAGG
Molecule: ribosomal RNA, 429 nt
Filed under: Gemmatimonadota bacterium
Lineage: Bacteria; Pseudomonadati; Gemmatimonadota
Description: Gemmatimonadetes bacterium partial 16S ribosomal RNA
Rfam family: Bacterial small subunit ribosomal RNA
Source: RNAcentral